Molecule: unclassified non-coding RNA, 296 nt
Filed under: Hevea brasiliensis (rubber tree)
Lineage: Eukaryota; Viridiplantae; Streptophyta; Magnoliopsida; Malpighiales; Euphorbiaceae
Source: RNAcentral
GUAACCAUUUAUUCCAGCAUAGUCUUUUAAGCAUAUCUCCCACUAAAAAUCUUCAAUUGAAAUGAAACAUAACAUUCUAGAAACUUAAGAAACAAAUCUUCAACAUUGUUUUAGACAUCUUCCUCAACUUAUGAAUUUAAGAAGCUUAAAUAUUGGAUCAAAGCUACUGACCUAAUUGAAAUCCUGUUGCUACAAGACAUUUGAGUCCAAUCCAAUAAUUUAACUAUAAGUAAUUCUACAAGACUUGAAAUAUUAUAACAAAAAAUUCUGAGUGAUCAUAAGACAUAGGGCAAUAA